Molecule: long non-coding RNA, 708 nt
Organism: Mastomys coucha (southern multimammate mouse)
Lineage: Eukaryota; Metazoa; Chordata; Mammalia; Rodentia; Muridae
Exons: 3
Source: RefSeq, a predicted model, not a curated record
UGGAAACUCUCCCCAGGCGUCAGGCAGGACCAGCCUCCCCUGAGCAGUUUUUCCUUUGUGUGGACUUUGCAAUGCGUUGCCAAGGCAGUGAGGCCUGCUGGGUCCCAAACAAGUGAAAAAGGACGAAGGAAAAACUGUAUGAAAACCAGGCAUCUCACCAGGACUUCUGCCCACACAGCAGCGAGGAAAACUGUGCCAUCAGCAAUGGGUGGUCAGCACUAGCUCAGCCCCGGGGCACUGUGACAAACACCUCUGUUCCACUUCCCAAACUUCCUGUACUUUAGGACCGUGUUUUCCUAACAGAGACUCCCAAGGAGUCAAGCACUGCGCUUGAGAGCACAUGGCUUCUAGACUGCUGGAAGGGAGGCUGGGGCAGAGGUGGGCAUGCCCAGGACCAGUGAAAAAGGCCCGGGCUUCCGGACCUAAGCUGCAGCUGGGAGCUCUGGCACUGGAAGCCUGAGGCUUUCUGGAUUCCGGCUUGUGAGGAUCCCUCAGGGGCCCACGCUGUGGAAACUGCCACAACCUGCCCUGCUAUAGCCAAACAGCAGCCUGCUGGAACAAGAUGGAUGAUGGCUUUGUGGGGGAAUCAGACGCGACGACGAGGAAAAAGCCUGUGAAGGUCAAAUGAGAUCCACACAGGCUGUGAUUUCCCAUCUAAAUGUUAGCAUUGACCUUGUUGAAAUAACACCUUUGCAUUUCUCUUGGGAA